AUACGGAGGGGGCUAGCGUUGUUCGGAAUCACUGGGCGUAAAGCGCACGUAGGCGGGCUGGUCAGUUGGGGGUGAGAGCCCCGGGCUUAACCUGGGAAUUGCAUUCGAUACUGCCAGGCUAGAAUGUAGUAGAGGGUAGUGGAAUUUCGGGUGUAGCGGUGAAAUGCGUAGAUAUCCGAAGGAACAUCAGUGGCGAAGGCGGUUACCUGGACGGGUACUGACGCUGAGGCGCGAAAGCGUGGGGAGCAAACAGGAUUAGAUACCCCGGUAGUCC
RNAcentral lists this ribosomal RNA (274 nucleotides) under uncultured bacterium. RNAcentral describes it as "partial 16S ribosomal RNA". It matches the Rfam family "Bacterial small subunit ribosomal RNA", at positions 523 to 796 of the family's 1533-position model. The record is from RNAcentral.